RNAcentral lists this ribosomal RNA (476 nucleotides) under uncultured bacterium. RNAcentral's name for it is "bacterial SSU rRNA". It matches the Rfam family "Bacterial small subunit ribosomal RNA", at positions 31 to 507 of the family's 1533-position model. The record is from RNAcentral.
GAUAGAACGCUGGCGGCGUGCCUCAAACAUGCAAGUCGAGCGGGGCUAUGUAAUAUCGCAAGGUAGAACAUAGCCUAGCGGCGAACGGGUGAGUAACACGUGGGUAACCUGCCUGGAAGACAGGGAUAACGAUUCGAAAGGGUCGCUAAUACCUGAUAAUAUCCUUUCAUCGCAUGGUGAUAGGAAGAAAGGGGAAACCCGCUUUCAGAUGGGCCCGCGUCCCAUCAGCUAGUUGGUAAGGUAAAGGCUUACCAAGGCGACGACGGGUAGCCGGUCUGAGAGGAUGUACGGCCACACUGGGACUGAGAUACGGCCCAGACUCCUACGGGAGGCAGCAGUUGGGAAUCUUAGGCAAUGGACGAAAGUCUGACCUAGCGACGCCGCGUGAGGGAAGAAGGCCUUCGGGUUGUAAACCUCUGUCAUGGGGGAAGAAGUAAGUGACGGUACCCCAAGAGGAAGCCCCUGCUAACUACGUG